This 253-nucleotide ribosomal RNA is filed under the name uncultured bacterium. RNAcentral's name for it is "partial 16S ribosomal RNA". It matches the Rfam family "Bacterial small subunit ribosomal RNA", at positions 524 to 776 of the family's 1533-position model. The record is from RNAcentral.
UACGUAGGUGGCAAGCGCUACUCGGAAUCACUAGGCGUAAAGCGCAGGUAGGCGGUUGGAUAAGUCUGUUGUGAAAGCUCCCGGCUUAACUGGGAGAGGUCAACGGAAACUGUCUAGCUAGAGUGUGGUAGAGGUAGCUGGAAUUCCCGGUGUAGCGGUGAAAUGCGUAGAUAUCGGGAGGAAUACCUAUGGCGAAAGCAGGCUACUGGACCAUCACUGACGCUGAUCUGCGAAAGCUAGGGGAGCAAACAGG